Molecule: long non-coding RNA, 217 nt
Filed under: Vigna radiata
Lineage: Eukaryota; Viridiplantae; Streptophyta; Magnoliopsida; Fabales; Fabaceae
Description: long non-coding RNA (VRAD_LNC012216)
Source: RNAcentral
GGAUCUGGAGUUUGGUUUUCAUUUUCAAAUUUGAAAUUGGCAUUUGAGAGAUUGGGAACGAAAAACCUAGAGAGAGAAGCUCCCACUCUAGCGACAAAAGCUCCCUCGUCGUUUCCACCGUCACGCGCCAUUCAACAGUUAUCGGACUGUUAUCCACCGCUGUGAGACCAAUUGAAAAGUGCUCAGCCCCCGAAAACGUCGAUUGGAAAGUACUCGC